CGGAAGUAAAAGUCGUAACAAGGUUUCCGUAGGUGAACCUGCGGAAGGAUCAUUAAAAAAUUGGACUCCAUUGGUGAGUUCAUUAAUAAUCCCUACCCUUUGUGAAUUUGUUUGUUUGAAUAAUUUUUUUUCCAAAAAAAAUUAUUGAAUGUCUUUCCUUGUUUUGGUGGAGCUUGUAAAGUGAAACCAGGCAGGGGAAUGGCAAACAAUAAUUAUUUUUGAAAAAGACCUUUUUUUAAAAUUAAACUUUUUGUAUUCAUUUGUCUAAAAUUAAUUUUUAUAAUAUAAAAACAACUUUUGACAAUGGAUCCCUUGGUUCUCGCAACGAUGAAGAACGCAGCAAAAUGCGAUAAGUAGUGUGAAUUGCAGAAUACGUGAAUCAUCGAAUCUUCGAACGCAUAUUGCACUUUUUUAGUUUACUAAAAAAGUAUGUCUGUUUGAGUAUCAGUAAAAUAUUCUCAUAAAAAACAUUGUUUUUUUUAUGGUUAUGAGUGUUUUACAACGAUAACAAGUUGUUUCACUUUAAAUUCUUUGUUAUCAAAAAAAUCAUUAAAAGCUAAUUUUAAAGAUUUUUUAAAAUUGGAUAAAAUUUUCCCGUAAAAAGGAAUAACCUAAACAAUUUUAAAAAUUAAAAUUGGUUUGAUUUUUUUGAAACCCAAAGGAAAAAAAAACGAAAUUAACUUGAUCUCAAAUCAGAUAAGAGUACCCGCUGAACUUAAGCAUAUCAAUAAGCGGAGGAAAAGAAACUACUAGGAUUCCCUCAGUAACGGCGAGUGAAGCGGGAAGAGCUCAAAUUUGAAAUCUUCAAGGUUUUACCUUGACGAAUUGUAGUUUAAAGAAGUGUUUUCUGUUGGAGUUUUGGUAAAAGUUCUUUGGAAAAGGACAUCAUAGAGGGUGAGAAUCCCGUAUUUGACCAUUAUCUCCAGCUUUGUGAUACACUUUCAAAGAGUCGGAUUGUUUGGGAAUGCAGUCCAAAAUGGGUGGUAAAUUUCAUCUAAAGCUAAAUACUGGCGAGAGACCGAUAGCGAACAAGUACCGUGAGGGAAAGAUGAAAAGAACUUUGAAAAGAGAGUUAAACAGUACGUGAAAUUGUCAAAAGGGAAGCGUUUGACACCAGUGUUGUUUUCUCGAAAAUCAAUUAAAAAAGGCCGGAUUUUGUGUUGUAUUGACUUUAUCAGCUUUCUGCACUCUUUUCUUGUCUUUUUUAAUGCACUUUUCGUUUAACAAGUCAACAUCAAUUUCUUUUGUUGUAAAAGGGUCAUUGGAAGGUGGCUUUCUUUUCGGAGAAAGUGUUUAUAGCCUUUGGCCUCUGCAAUCGGAGAGAUUGAGGUCUGCAGCGUAGAUCCUUCGGGGUUAGAUACAUUUUGUGCUAAGUUAUAGCCUUUCAUAGACAACUUGUUGACUAUGAUCAGUCAUGUAGCUUACUCGCUUAUGCUAUUUUACCUACGCUUAGGAUGU
Molecule: unclassified non-coding RNA, 1458 nt
Filed under: uncultured Neocallimastigales
Lineage: Eukaryota; Fungi; Neocallimastigomycota; Neocallimastigomycetes; Neocallimastigales
Description: partial contains small subunit ribosomal RNA, internal transcribed spacer 1, 5.8S ribosomal RNA, internal transcribed spacer 2, and large subunit ribosomal RNA
Rfam family: Eukaryotic large subunit ribosomal RNA (bases 683-1458)
Source: RNAcentral